RNAcentral lists this long non-coding RNA (458 nucleotides) under Fukomys damarensis (Damara mole-rat). RNAcentral describes it as "lncRNA (ENSFDAG00000030735.1)". The record is from RNAcentral. Lineage: Eukaryota; Metazoa; Chordata; Mammalia; Rodentia; Bathyergidae.
CACCGGCCUCCUCCCGCCUCCUCCCUGGACUUCUGAGCAGCCGGCCCCAGGCCCCCAUCUCCCUCCCAGCGGAUAUAACAAGUCACAAACAAACCCGAUCUCCAGCUGUGGCCUAGAGGAGGCCAAUCAAUAAUGGCCCUAACGCGAUUACGGUGAAUUGGCUUGGGGAAGAAGCAGAUGCAGUGUAGAUGGGACAGGAGGCAGCCAGGGGGACAGAGCACGCUGAGAACUGUGCCAUGCUGCACGCAGCGCCCACACCGGACGGUUCACCAGGCUCUGCUCCACAGGCUGAUUAUCUCGAGCCUUUGGUCACCAUGACAGGACGCUGCCUACACAGGAAGCAAGACUGGAUCGGGACUGCAUUAGCAUGGGGCUCGGUCGGGACUGAGGGGCCCUUGCAGAAGGGUGGGAAAGCUGAGCUGAGGGAAACCAACCACCACCCGCUGAUGAAUAUGGAA